GACGAACGCUGGCGGCGUGCUUAACACAUGCAAGUCGAACGGUGAAAGCGGAGCUUGCUCCGCUGGAUCAGUGGCGAACGGGUGAGUAACACGUGGGCAACCUGCCCCUCACUUCGGGAUAACUCCGGGAAACCGGGGCUAAUACCGGAUAUGACCUCCUUGGGCAUCCUGGGAGGUGGAAAGUUUUUCGGUGAGGGAUGGGCCCGCGGCCUAUCAGCUUGUUGGUGAGGUAGUGGCUCACCAAGGCGACGAGGGGUAGCCGGCCUGAGGGGGCGAACGGCCACACUGGGACUGAGACACGGCCCAGACUCCUACGGGAGGCAGCAGUGGGGAAUAUUGCGCAAUGGGCGGAAGCCUGACGCAGCAACGCCGCGUGCGGGAUGACGGCCUUCGGGUUGUAAACCGCUUUCAGCAGGGAAGAAGCCGCAAGGUGACGGUACCUGCAGAAGAAGCACCGGCUAACUACGUGCCAGCCGCCGCGGUAA
RNAcentral lists this ribosomal RNA (485 nucleotides) under uncultured bacterium. RNAcentral describes it as "partial 16S ribosomal RNA". It matches the Rfam family "Bacterial small subunit ribosomal RNA", at positions 28 to 523 of the family's 1533-position model. The record is from RNAcentral.